GUAUUCCUGCUGAGAGUCAUUUCCUGUGCUGGAUUUACCAUCACAGGGACCAGAUUUAUAGAAAAAUGAACAUGUAUUGUUGCUAAAUGGAGUUGGUCAUGGAGUGGAAACUAACAAUAUGUUCACCUCAAGAAGACCCUCACCAGAUGCAGCCCCUCUAUGUUGGACUUCCCAGCCUCCGGAAGUUAGAAAUGUGCUACAACCACUCAAGGUCUGCAAACAGAUUCCUAUUUAGAUGUUGUUGAGAGUUUCGUUCUUGUCGCCCAGGCUGGAGUGUCAUUUUAAC
This 286-nucleotide long non-coding RNA is filed under the name Homo sapiens (human). RNAcentral's name for it is "HSALNT0408201". The record is from RNAcentral. Lineage: Eukaryota; Metazoa; Chordata; Mammalia; Primates; Hominidae.